UUCCGGUUGAUCCUGCCGGAGGCCAUUGCUAUCGGAGUCCGAUUUAGCCAUGCUAGUUGCACGAGUUCAGACUCGUGGCAGAAAGCUCAGUAACACGUGGCCAAGCUACCCUAUGGAGAGGGAUAACCCCGGGAAACUGGGGCUAAUACCUCAUAACGCUCCCCAACUGGAAUGUGGGGAGCCGGAAACGCUCCGGCGCCAUAGGAUGCGGCUGCGGUCGAUUAGGUAGACGGUGGGGUAACGGCCCACCGUGCCGAUAAUCGGUACGGGUCGUGAGAGCGAGUGCCCGGAGAUGGAUUCUGAGACAAGAAUCCAGGCCCUACGGGGCGCAGCAGGCGCGAAAACUUUACACUGCACGCAAGUGCGAUAGGGGGACUCCGAGUGUGUGGGCAUAGAGCCCACACUUUUGUGUACCGUAAGGUGGUACACGAAUAAGAGCUGGGCAGGACCGGUGCCAGCCGCCGCGGUAAUACCGGCAGCUCAAGUGAUGGCCGAUUUUAUUGGGCCUAAAGCGUCCGUAGCCGGCCGGGCAAGUCCGUUGGGAAAUCUGUUCGCUUAACGAACAGGCGUCCAGCGGAAACUGCUCGGCUUGGGACCGAAAGACCUGAGGGGUACGUCCGGGGUAGGAGUGAAAUCCUGUAAUCCUGGACGGACCACCGAUGGGGAAACCACCUCAGGAGGACGGAUCCGACGGUGAGGGACGAAAGCUAGGGUCUCGAACCGGAUUAGAUACCCGGGUAGUCCUAGCUGUAAACGAUGUCUGCUAGGUGUGGCACAGGCUACGAGCCUGUGCUGUGCCGUAGGGAAGCCGAGAAGCAGACCGCCUGGGAAGUACGUCCGCAAGGAUGAAACUUAAAGGAAUUGGCGGG
RNAcentral lists this ribosomal RNA (869 nucleotides) under uncultured archaeon. RNAcentral describes it as "bacterial SSU rRNA". It matches the Rfam family "Archaeal small subunit ribosomal RNA", at positions 1 to 872 of the family's 1478-position model. The record is from RNAcentral.